Molecule: ribosomal RNA, 743 nt
Filed under: uncultured bacterium
Lineage: Bacteria
Description: bacterial SSU rRNA
Rfam family: Bacterial small subunit ribosomal RNA
Source: RNAcentral
AGAGUUUGAUCCUGGCUCAGAGCGAACGCUGGCGGCAGGCCUAACACAUGCAAGUCGAGCGCCGUAGCAAUACGGAGCGGCAGACGGGUGAGUAACGCGUGGGAACGUGCCCUUCGGUUCGGAAUAACUCAGGGAAACUUGAGCUAAUACCGGAUACGUCCGAAAGGAGAAAGAUUUAUCGCCGAAGGAUCGGCCCGCGUAAGAUUAGCUAGUUGGUGAGGUAACGGCUCACCAAGGCUCUGAUCUUUAGCUGGUCUGAGAGGACGAUCAGCCACACUGGGACUGAGACACGGCCCAGACUCCUACGGGAGGCAGCAGUGGGGAAUAUUGGACAAUGGGCGCAAGCCUGAUCCAGCCAUGCCGCGUGAGUGAUGAAGGCCUUAGGGUUGUAAAGCUCUUUUGGCAGGGACGAUAAUGACUGUACCUGCAGAAUAAGCCCCGGCCAACUUCGUGCCAGCAGCCGCGGUAAUACGAAGGGGGCUAGCGUUGCUCGGAAUCACUGGGCGUAAAGCGCACGUAGGCGGGUCGUUAAGUCGGGGGUGAAAUCCUGGAGCUCAACUCCAGAACUGCCUUCGAUACUGGCGAUCUUGGAGUCCGGGAGAGGUGGGUGGAACUGCGAGUGUAGAGGUGAAAUUCGUAGAUAUUCGCAAGAACACCAGUGGCGAAGGCGGCUCACUGGCCCGGUACUGACGCUGAGGUGCGAAAGCGUGGGGAGCAAACAGGAUUAGAUACCCCGGUAGUCC